This 413-nucleotide ribosomal RNA is filed under the name uncultured Gammaproteobacteria bacterium. Its description in RNAcentral is "bacterial SSU rRNA". It matches the Rfam family "Bacterial small subunit ribosomal RNA", at positions 564 to 977 of the family's 1533-position model. The record is from RNAcentral. Lineage: Bacteria; Pseudomonadati; Pseudomonadota; Gammaproteobacteria.
AGCGCGCGUAGGCGGUUAAACAAGUCAUAUGUGAAAGCCCCGGGCUCAACCUGGGAACUGCAUUUGAAACUGUUUAGCUAGAGUGUGGUAGAGGAGAGUGGAAUUUCAGGUGUAGCGGUGAAAUGCGUAGAUAUCUGAAGGAACACCAGUGGCGAAGGCGGCUCUCUGGACCAACACUGACGCUGAGGUGCGAAAGCGUGGGUAGCAAACGGGAUUAGAUACCCCGGUAGUCCACGCCGUAAACGAUGUCAACUAACUGUUGGGCGGGUUUCCGCUUAGUGGUGCAGCUAACGCAAUAAGUUGACCGCCUGGGGAGUACGGCCGCAAGGCUAAAACUCAAAUGAAUUGACGGGGGCCCGCACAAGCGGUGGAGCAUGUGGUUUAAUUCGAUGCAACGCGAAGAACCUUACCUA